Molecule: unclassified non-coding RNA, 256 nt
Filed under: plant metagenome
Description: partial contains small subunit ribosomal RNA, internal transcribed spacer 1, and 5.8S ribosomal RNA
Source: RNAcentral
UUUCCGUAGGUGAACCUGCGGAAGGAUCAUUAGCGAAGCUCGGAAUGCAUGUUCGGUCUGAUGCUGCCCAGCAAUGGGACGUGCUCGGCUGGAUGUGUGUCCCUUCUCUAUUCCACCCCUUUGUGAACCAAGUGUGCGAGCCGAAGAGAGAUCGGAGGCUCGCAUGCAACCCUUAACAUACCCCAAUGAAGCAUCAGAAUGUACCUUGCGUUAACUCGCACAAAUAUAACUUUCAACAACGGAUCUCUUGGCUCUC